Molecule: RNA transcript, 4041 nt
Organism: Chelonia mydas (Green sea turtle)
Lineage: Eukaryota; Metazoa; Chordata; Testudines; Cheloniidae
Gene: GFM2
Gene name: GTP dependent ribosome recycling factor mitochondrial 2
Exons: 23
Source: RefSeq, a predicted model, not a curated record
CCCGGCAGCUGCAUCGCCAGCAGGGCCUGCUGGGACCUCCCUGCGGGGCCCGGAACCCGGGGAGAGUCGGAGGGGCUGGCCGGGAGGGAGAGAAAGGACACCGCGCCGCGGUGCGGUCUGGGAAGACGUGUUUUCAUUGCAGGCUUUCUCUGGGCUCGGGAGGCGGUGCCGGCGCGGCCGAGCAGGGCGGAAGCGGAAGGAAGCUGCUGCGGGCCGGGGGUGUAGGGUGACGGGCCAGAUCUUUCCGGGAGGUCGCCACCCGUCUCCGCACGGGGACACCGGGCAGCCGCGGGCGAGGCCCCCUUCUCCACACCCCUCGUAGGCCGGGCCGGAGUGAGCGAGGAGGGAGCUGGUAUCCUGGCUGCGGCCGGGUGCAGCUGUAGACAAUAGUGUAAUAAUGUUGAGAGUUCCAAGGAAAUUUUCACUGAAUGUCCUGAAAGCAUCAAGUUUGUGCAAUGAGUGUAUGUACUGCAAGUGGGCAAGAACGAUGGUUGUAAAAAGACUAAAAUCACAAGAAUGUCAUCAAAGAAAUUACAGCUUUCCACCAGGAGAUGUCAAAUCUUUGCGUUCUAUCAUUACCCCUCCUAUAUCUAAGAUCCGUAACAUUGGCAUCAUGGCUCAUAUUGAUGCAGGGAAAACUACAACCACAGAGAGAAUGUUAUACUAUUCCGGAUACACAAGAGCACUGGGAGAUGUCGAUGAUGGGGACACAGUGACGGAUUUCAUGGUACAAGAGCGAGAACGUGGCAUUACCAUUCAGUCUGCUGCUGUUACUUUUGAUUGGAAGGGAUAUAGAAUGAACCUGAUUGACACACCAGGUCAUGUGGACUUUACAGUGGAAGUUGAACGUUCCCUGAGAGUGCUGGAUGGGGCAGUGGCUGUAUUUGAUGCUUCAGCUGGUGUGGAGGCACAGACUCUAACAGUAUGGCGACAAGCAGACAAGCAUCAUAUACCACGAAUUUGUUUUUUAAAUAAGAUGGACAAAAAUGGGGCAAGUUUUACUUAUGCUGUUGACAGUAUCAAGCAAAAGUUGAAGACAAAACCUUUGCUUUUACAGUUGCCAAUUGGUGAGGCCAAGACCUUCAAGGGACUGGUUGAUGUAGUGACCAAGGAACAAAUUAUUUGGAACCCUGCUUCUAGUCUGGAUGAUGGAAAAGUUUUUGAGCAAAAACCCCUGACAGAAACUGAAGAUCCUGAAUUGUUAAAGGAUGUCAGAGAUGCAAGAAAUGCCUUAAUAGAACAAGUUGCAGAUCUGGAUGAUGAAUUUGCUGAGCUGGUUCUAGGAGAUUUUAGUGAAAAUUUUGACUUACUGCCAGCUGAUAAGUUACAGUCUGCUGUACGCAGAGUAACACUGGCACAGAAAGCAGUACCUGUGUUCUGUGGAAGCGCAUUGAAGAAUAAAGGAGUACAGCCUUUACUGGAUGCCAUUACUAUGUACUUACCUGCACCUAAUGAGCGUUCCUAUGACUUUCUGCCAUGGUACAAAGAUGACUUGUGUGCCCUGGCAUUUAAAGUUCUUCAUGAUAAACAACGUGGGCCAUUAGUUUUUAUACGCAUUUACUCAGGCACAAUGAAACCUCAAUCAGCUGUAUAUAACAUCAACAAAAAUUGCACAGAGAGAAUGAGUCGCCUUCUGCUGCCUUUUGCUGACCAGCAAAUAGAAAUACCUUCACUAAUGGCUGGCAAUAUUGCCCUUACUGUUGGGCUGAAACAGAGUGCCACUGGAGACACCAUUGUUUCAUCAAAGGCGUCUGCUGUGGCUGCAGCCCGUCGAGCUGGAAGAGAGGUUGGGAGAAAGCCUGGCGGUAAUAGUGAAGUAGAGAGCCUUUUAUUAGCUGGCGUAGAGAUCCCCGAGCCAGUCUUCUUUUGUACAAUAGAACCACCUUCGAUGUCCAAACAGCCAGAGUUGGAUAAUGCAUUGAACUGCCUUCAGCGUGAAGAUCCAAGUUUGAAAGUGAAGAUAGAUCCUGACACUGGACAAACUGUUCUCUGUGGCAUGGGAGAGCUGCACAUUGAGAUUAUUCAUGACCGAAUCAAACGGGAAUAUGGCGUUGAGACCUAUCUAGGACCCCUUCAGAUAGCAUAUAGAGAAACCAUCCUAAACUCGGCCCAAGCCACAGAUACGUUGGACAGAACGAUAGGAGAUAAACGGCACUUGGUGACCACCCAGCUGGGAGUAAGACCAUGGGUAGGAGAGAGAUCAUCAGUAACACCAGUCAUUGAAUAUGCUGACAAUUUCAUGGAACCACUUCAGAAAGACAUUCAAGAAGCUAUAGAAAAUGGAAUUAACAGUUCAUACCUUCAAGGACCGCUCCUGGGAUUCCCAGUUCAGGAUGUAGCAGUGACUGUGUAUUCCAUGACCAUGCACUCUGAAACUUCCCUGACUAUGAUUUCUGCUUGUGUUUCUCGUUGUAUGCAAAAGGCUUUGAAGAAAGCCAGUAAACAACUGCUGGAACCCUUAAUGAAUCUGGAAAUUACAGUGAGCGAAGAUCUCCUCAGCGCAGUGCUUGGUGACCUUGCGCAAAGAAGAGGCAGCAUUCAGGAAAUCCAAAAUCGUCAAGAUAACAAAGUAGUGAUUGCAGCUGUUCCCCUAGCAGAAAUGAUGGGUUACUCAACAGUUCUGCGCUCUUUAACAUCAGGCUCAGCAACUUUCACUUUGGAACUAGCCAGUUACCAAGCCAUGAACAUUCAGGAGCAAAGCGCACUGCUUCAGAAGAGGAGUGGGUUGGUGUGACCACUUUACUCCAUGGGAGAACAACGAAGACCUGCUUUAUUCUCACUAGAAAAUGUUAGGGGAACUGUUUGCCAAGUAUCCUCUUUCUGAAAAAUGGGUGGGGUAAAGUGUGUGGGGUUAGAACUGUCUUAAAAUAACAUGCUACGGCUGUCCAGUGGUAAGUGGCAAAGAAAAAAGUGCUGUGAAAUCCUGGAAUUGCCUUGUUUGCAUGAAGGGAGUUAAACCAGAGAUAACUAGAAUUGACUGUUUUGAUAUCCACCAUAUUCCGUGUACUACACUUCACAUGCCUAACAGUUGGAGCUGAUACCUUACUGGAAGACAACGUUCCAAAUCCCCUACAAGAAAUGAUGGUGCAGCUCUUUCUGUGAAAGUGAGCACUACAUGCAACUUACUGAAUCAUGUCAGAACUGUUUCACCUAAAGUAGUCAACCUGAUUCUAGCUGACUGGCUCGUAGCAAAGCAGCUGUCAAAUUAAGAAACUGAAGAGUUUGAAUUUCACACCAAAUCCUGCUAGUUCUUCAUGCAGUGCUAUAGUCAGCCAGCAUUAUAUCACCACCGCUUCCCCCCAGAUACCAGGUGUUUAGAUGCAAGCAGUGUGCCAAGGGAUUCUAGAGUCGACAGGAUCACGAUGUAGAUGCAGAGGUCACUUUCUGUUUGAUUAGGAAGUAAGGGCUAUCAAUCAACUCCUCAAAAGAGGAGGACCUGACGCCAGGACUUCGGGGGCUUCUCCUACAGCAGCUGUCCUCUUCUUUGUAUGGGGAUAAUGGAAGCAACCAGGAUGGAAAUAGCAGAUGUGGACAGAAGAAACUCACUAAAACCUCAGGAGUGCUUCACAAAGGGCGGCAAGUAUCUCCCCUUUCAGUUGGAAGAAGUGGAGGAAGAGACUGAGAUUUGUUCAGGGUCUCGUAAUAAAUCAGUAUACAACAGAACCCAGAUUUCCCUGUUUCAAGUCCACUUAUUCAAGCCACCAAACCACACUGCCCCUCCAAUAGCUCUAUUCCCAUAGCCCUGAAGAGAUGGUCUAAAUUAUGGAUAUUAAUUCAAUAAGGGCUCAUUUGCCCACUCCCUUAAACAGUUAAGGGCUAUACAUUAUCCCAUCUACCACUGAGGAAAUUCAACUUGUUUGAUACUACUACAUGGUAAGAGAGAACUUUUGCUGCUCCUGUUCAUUUUUUAAAUAGUUGUUUUUGAAUAUGUCUUUACCUUUGUAUGCAUGUAGAUACUGAAGAAGUUAUGCUCCCCCAAACAUUUCAGCGUUCUGGUCCGUUAGCAUAGCCAUUUGUAUUUAAAUAAAGUUAUGAAGAAUA